This 240-nucleotide unclassified non-coding RNA is filed under the name soil metagenome. RNAcentral's name for it is "partial contains 5.8S ribosomal RNA, internal transcribed spacer 2, and large subunit ribosomal RNA". The record is from RNAcentral.
AACGAGGCCGACCUGCGGCUGAGUUACCUGCGGAGGGAUCAUUACCAAUUUCAACGGUUGUGGUACUUUUUUUAGUAUUACAAUCUUUUACUCUAUGUAAACUUGUUGAACUUGUGCUGUGAGGAAAUUUGGGUGUUAUUGCUGCGCCUUUGUGUGUGGUUAAUGCACCCAUUACUACCUUGCACGUUAAACAACUUUAGACAUACUACUACAUACUACAAAAAAACAAUGGAAUCCUAU